RNAcentral lists this ribosomal RNA (496 nucleotides) under uncultured bacterium. RNAcentral's name for it is "partial 16S ribosomal RNA". It matches the Rfam family "Bacterial small subunit ribosomal RNA", at positions 28 to 506 of the family's 1533-position model. The record is from RNAcentral.
GAUGAACGCUGGCGGCGUGCCUAAUACAUGCAAGUCGAGCGAACGGACGAGAAGCUUGCUUCUCUGAUGUUAGCGGCGGACGGGUGAGUAACACGUGGAUAACCUACCUAUAAGACUGGGAUAACUUCGGGAAACCGUAGCUAAUACCGGAUAAUAUUUUGAACCGCAUGGUUCAAAAGUGAAAGACGGUCUUGCUGUCACUUAUAGAUGGAUCCGCGCUGCAUUAGCUAGUUGGUAAGGUAACGGCUUACCAAGGCAACGAUGCAUAGCCGACCUGAGAGGGUGAUCGGCCACACUGGAACUGAGACACGGUCCAGACUCCUACGGGAGGCAGCAGUAGGGAAUCUUCCGAAAUGGGCGAAAGCCUGACGGAGCAACGCCGCGUGAGUGAUGAAGGUCUUCGGAUCGUAAAACUCUGUUAUUAGGGAAGAACAUAUGUGUAAGUAACUGUGCACAUCUUGACGGUACCUAAUCAGAAAGCCACGGCUAACUACGU